CUCACUUCAUGCAGCAGCUCUCGUGUGAAUUGGUGCGGUAACCGGAGAUGUAUCUAGAACUUACCCUUACUUUCUUUUUCUCUGUCCUUGGAGCCGAGAGUCUAUAAGAAACAAUAUUUGCCUUCAUAAGGUACGGCUAAGAUCUGCGUAGACACUGCCCAAAUCCACUUGUGGGAUUACAUUGAAUUUUUUUUCUUUUUUGUAAUAUGUACACAUAAUUCAAGUCAAAAGCAACUAAUGUAGUUGAACCGUCAGAACUCGCUCUAGAUCCAUCUGUAAUGGUAUGGCAUGGAAACAGAGACGGAUGUGAUCUUUU
This 316-nucleotide long non-coding RNA is filed under the name Nicotiana benthamiana. RNAcentral's name for it is "long non-coding RNA (NBEN_LNC008512)". Lineage: Eukaryota; Viridiplantae; Streptophyta; Magnoliopsida; Solanales; Solanaceae. The record is from RNAcentral.